RNAcentral lists this ribosomal RNA (790 nucleotides) under Bacillus safensis. RNAcentral's name for it is "bacterial SSU rRNA". It matches the Rfam family "Bacterial small subunit ribosomal RNA", at positions 44 to 820 of the family's 1533-position model. Lineage: Bacteria; Bacillati; Bacillota; Bacilli; Caryophanales; Bacillaceae. The record is from RNAcentral.
GUGCUAUACAUGCAGUCGAGCGGACAGAAGGGAGCUUGCUCCCGGAUGUUAGCGGCGGACGGGUGAGUAACACGUGGGUAACCUGCCUGUAAGACUGGGAUAACUCCGGGAAACCGGAGCUAAUACCGGAUAGUUCCUUGAACCGCAUGGUUCAAGGAUGAAAGACGGUUUCGGCUGUCACUUACAGAUGGACCCGCGGCGCAUUAGCUAGUUGGUGGGGUAAUGGCUCACCAAGGCGACGAUGCGUAGCCGACCUGAGAGGGUGAUCGGCCACACUGGGACUGAGACACGGCCCAGACUCCUACGGGAGGCAGCAGUAGGGAAUCUUCCGCAAUGGACGAAAGUCUGACGGAGCAACGCCGCGUGAGUGAUGAAGGUUUUCGGAUCGUAAAGCUCUGUUGUUAGGGAAGAACAAGUGCGAGAGUAACUGCUCGCACCUUGACGGUACCUAACCAGAAAGCCACGGCUAACUACGUGCCAGCAGCCGCGGUAAUACGUAGGUGGCAAGCGUUGUCCGGAAUUAUUGGGCGUAAAGGGCUCGCAGGCGGUUUCUUAAGUCUGAUGUGAAAGCCCCCGGCUCAACCGGGGAGGGUCAUUGGAAACUGGGAAACUUGAGUGCAGAAGAGGAGAGUGGAAUUCCACGUGUAGCGGUGAAAUGCGUAGAGAUGUGGAGGAACACCAGUGGCGAAGGCGACUCUCUGGUCUGUAACUGACGCUGAGGAGCGAAAGCGUGGGGAGCGAACAGGAUUAGAUACCCUGGUAGUCCACGCCGUAAACGAUGAGUGCUAAG